UUAAGUACUUUUUCGGGCA
RNAcentral lists this non-coding RNA (19 nucleotides) under Arabidopsis thaliana (thale cress). The record is from RNAcentral. Lineage: Eukaryota; Viridiplantae; Streptophyta; Magnoliopsida; Brassicales; Brassicaceae.